RNAcentral lists this ribosomal RNA (763 nucleotides) under uncultured Streptococcus sp. RNAcentral's name for it is "bacterial SSU rRNA". It matches the Rfam family "Bacterial small subunit ribosomal RNA", at positions 28 to 776 of the family's 1533-position model. The record is from RNAcentral. Lineage: Bacteria; Bacillati; Bacillota; Bacilli; Lactobacillales; Streptococcaceae.
GACGAACGCUGGCGGCGUGCCUAAUACAUGCAAGUAGAACGCUGAAGGAGGAGCUUGCUCUUCUGGAUGAGUUGCGAACGGGUGAGUAACGCGUAGGUAACCUGCCUGGUAGCGGGGGAUAACUAUUGGAAACGAUAGCUAAUACCGCAUAAGAGUAGAUGUUGCAUGACAUUUGCUUAAAAGGUGCAAUUGCACCACUACCAGAUGGACCUGCGUUGUAUUAGCUAGUUGGUGGGGUAACGGCUCACCAAGGCGACGAUACAUAGCCGACCUGAGAGGGUGAUCGGCCACACUGGGACUGAGACACGGCCCAGACUCCUACGGGAGGCAGCAGUAGGGAAUCUUCGGCAAUGGACGGAAGUCUGACCGAGCAACGCCGCGUGAGUGAAGAAGGUUUUCGGAUCGUAAAGCUCUGUUGUAAGAGAAGAACGAGUGUGAGAGUGGAAAGUUCACACUGUGACGGUAUCUUACCAGAAAGGGACGGCUAACUACGUGCCAGCAGCCGCGGUAAUACGUAGGUCCCGAGCGUUGUCCGGAUUUAUUGGGCGUAAAGCGAGCGCAGGCGGUUAGAUAGGUCUGAAGUUAAAGGCUGUGGCUUAACCAUAGUACGCUUUGGAAACUGUUUAACUUGAGUGCAAGAGGGGAGAGUGGAAUUCCAUGUGUAGCGGUGAAAUGCGUAGAUAUAUGGAGGAACACCGGUGGCGAAAGCGGCUCUCUGGCUUGUAACUGACGCUGAGGCUCGAAAGCGUGGGGAGCAAACAGG